RNA transcript from Musa acuminata AAA Group (dessert banana), 2126 nucleotides. It is a transcript of the gene named DEAD-box ATP-dependent RNA helicase 42, with no coding region annotated. The transcript is spliced from 5 exons. Lineage: Eukaryota; Viridiplantae; Streptophyta; Magnoliopsida; Zingiberales; Musaceae. The record is from RefSeq and is a predicted model, not a curated record.
GGCCACUUUGGGUUCCCUUUUUAUCCCUCUCUCUCUCUCUCGCUCUCUCUCGGCCUGGCGUUCGAUCUCCCUUAGCAGUUCCGCCCGAUGAAGGACGCCGCCGCCGUCGGACCGAGGCUUUCCAAGAAGAACUCCGACGAUGAGGAGAGGAGAAAGAAGAAGAAGAAAAUGAAAUCCAACAAGCGCCGUCGCCUCCGCCACUCCUCCUGCUCGUCUUCCGAUUCCGACGACGGCAGCCCUCGCUCCCGAAGGAAACGAGCGAAGAGGCUUGAGAAGAGGAAAAGGGAGCCCAAGAACGACGACAGGAAGAAGAGGAAGAAGAAGAGUAAGAAGAAGGAGAAGGAGAAGGAGAAGGAAAAGGAGAGGUCCCGCAAGUCGCGCAACCGCAGCGUCAGCGCGUCGAGCCGGAGUUGCUCCACCUGCCGCGGCCGGAGCAGCUCCUCCGGCAGUAGCGUCUCGAGGAGCCCGCCUCCGAGAGCGAAGCAGAGGGCGAGAAGUCGGUCUAGAGGGAGAGGGAGGGAUGGGGAUGUGGAGAGGGGGAGAGGUCGGCGGAGGAGGACGACAAGCUUCGAUCGGCGUGGGAGUAGGUAUCGGUCUCGGAGUUGUUCUACUUGUGGAGGGAGUCGGAGUAGCGGCCGGACCGGUGGAAGCGCUUGCCGAAGCCGAAGUUGUAGCGAGGAGAAGUAUCGGGAGAUUGAACAGCCGAGGCGGCUCAGAUCGAUGCUGGCUAUGGCAGAGGACAGAGAGGUGGUCGAAGGAGGAUUUCAUGGAAAGGAUGAGCAGGGAGACAGAAUUAUCCAAAGUUACGAUGAUUUCGAUAGGUAUGAUGGGGGCAGGAAGUCGGACACACAUCAAGAUUCUCCUCAGAGGAAUGCAAAGAAUGAUGAGGCUUUAGCAAAGAAUGGGAAUGCAAAGGACAGUGAAAUGGUGCUGAGUAUCAGUGGUGAGCAAACAAUUGAGAAUGCUGAUGGUGGUGGUGAUGAUUUUACUAGGAAGAAGAAAGACAACUCUGGGGGUCCGGAGGCUGUCGAGUUAGAAUCACAAUUAAGACAAAGGGCAUUGGAUAAUUUCGCAAAGUUCCGACGAAGCCUUUCUGCAAACACGAGGUCUACUGGUUGUCAGGAAGAUGACUCCAGCCAACCUCAAUGUGGCAAGGAUCCCAUUAAGGUUGCUGAGGCACAAGAUGCCUUCAAAUCUUCAGAUGGAAAGUUCGCUGUUUCCCAUGAAUGCCAAGGAGAUGUUCAAGGUGAAGUCCGGCGAGCUGAACCCAGAGUUAGAUCUGUUGUGAAUAUUCCCGCUGAGAAAGAUACUUCAAGCCAUGUGAUUAGACGUCAAAGUUCCAGUGGAAGCUCUAGAAAAGAAAAUGAACAAGACCCAGAUAACUCCAACAAAGGCCAAAGUGAUCCAAACCAAUUAAACUGGAUAGAAGAGCCAUCUAACAAAAUGUCUUUGCAGCAUUCCUCACUAAUAAAAGACAAGCAAGAGAAGAGUGCAGCUGCUGAACCUGAAAGUAGCACUGUAUGUGAUGCUGCAGUAAAUCAGUCUGUUGGACAACCAACUUCAGCAUUACCUGCCGAUCAAAGAAUUGAAAGUGAAAAUGAAAACAAGGAUGAAGAUAAAGGGUCUCAGUUUCAACAAAAGACAUUCUCUAGGAUGCAUGAUGGAGAACUAGUGCAGGUAAGUUACAAGGUUUACAUACCAAAGAAAAGUCCUGCCUUGGCAAGAAGGCAACCACAACGGUGAAAAGUGUAUAGGUUGAGUCUCCUUCCUCCUAUUUCCAUUUUCAGUAUUGGCACUGGUGUCUUCAUGAGGAUCAAGAUAUUUCACUACUGCAUAAUUGACUAAGAUUCAGGAAGAUUGAAGCAUCGGAUCAUUAGACGGAGCGCAGGUGGAGAGUAGAUAAUAGAUAUCAAUCAAAUUGGAUGUAAUUGGUUAUAUGAUUAUCCAACAAUUGUUCAUCUCUGAUCCUAUCCAAUAUGCAUCUCUGGGUGAUCUUUCUGAGCCCACAAAGCAGAUGUAUGGAAUUCAAUUACUACGAUAUAACUCUGGACUGUGUCUAAGCUUCAUAAAACUAUUUGACACAAGGUGAGUCAUGUCUGAUGCCGUAUUUAGAAUUUUCAUUGUCA